This 934-nucleotide ribosomal RNA is filed under the name Alternaria murispora. RNAcentral's name for it is "SSU rRNA". It matches the Rfam family "Eukaryotic small subunit ribosomal RNA", at positions 137 to 1080 of the family's 1831-position model. Lineage: Eukaryota; Fungi; Ascomycota; Dothideomycetes; Pleosporales; Pleosporaceae. The record is from RNAcentral.
ACUUGGAUAACCGUGGUAAUUCUAGAGCUAAUACAUGCUGAAAAUCCCGACUUCGGAAGGGAUGUGUUUAUUAGAUAAAAAACCAAUGCCCUUCGGGGCUCCUUGGUGAUUCAUGAUAACUUUACGGAUCGCAUAGCCUUGCGCUGGCGACGGUUCAUUCAAAUUUCUGCCCUAUCAACUUUCGAUGGUAAGGUAUUGGCUUACCAUGGUUUCAACGGGUAACGGGGAAUUAGGGUUCGAUUCCGGAGAGGCAGCCUGAGAAACGGCUACCACAUCCAAGGAAGGCAGCAGGCGCGCAAAUUACCCAAUCCCGACACGGGGAGGUAGUGACAAUAAAUACUGAUACAGGGCUCUUUUGGGUCUUGUAAUUGGAAUGAGUACAAUUCAAAUCUCUUAACGAGGAACAAUUGGAGGGCAAGUCUGGUGCCAGCAGCCGCGGUAAUUCCAGCUCCAAUAGCGUAUAUUAAAGUUGUUGCAGUUAAAAAGCUCGUAGUUGAAACUUGGGCCUGGCUGGCGGGUCCGCCUCACCGCGUGCACUCGUCCGGCCGGGCCUUCCUUCUGAAGAACCUCAUGCCCUUCACUGGGCGUGCUGGGGAAUCAGGACUUUUACUUUGAAAAAAUUAGAGUGUUCAAAGCAGGCCUUUGCUCGAAUACGUUAGCAUGGAAUAAUAAAAUAGGGCGUGCGUUUCUAUUUUGUUGGUUUCUAGAGACGCCGCAAUGAUUAACAGGAACAGUCGGGGGCAUCAGUAUUCAGUUGUCAGAGGUGAAAUUCUUGGAUUUACUGAAGACUAACUACUGCGAAAGCAUUUGCCAAGGAUGUUUUCAUUAAUCAGUGAACGAAAGUUAGGGGAUCGAAGACGAUCAGAUACCGUCGUAGUCUUAACCGUAAACUAUGCCGACUAGGGAUCGGGCGAUGUUCUUUUUCUGACUCGCU